GACGAACGCUGGCGGCGUGCUUAACACAUGCAAGUCGAACGGAAAGGCCCUGCUUGCCGGGUACUCGAGUGGCGAACGGGUGAGUAACACGUGGGUGAUCUGCCCUGCACUUCGGGAUAAGCCUGGGAAACUGGGUCUAAUACCGGAUAGGAGCCAUUUUUAGUGUGAUGGUUGGAAAGUUUUUUCGGUGUAGGAUGAGCUCGCGGCCUAUCAGCUUGUUGGUGGGGUAAUGGCCUACCAAGGCGGCGACGGGUAGCCGGCCUGAGAGGGUGGACGGCCACAUUGGGACUGAGAUACGGCCCAGACUCCUACGGGAGGCAGAAGUGGGGAAUAUUGCACAAUGGGCGCAAGCCGGAUGCAGCGACGCCGCGUGGGGGAUGACGGCCUUAGGGUUGUAAACUCCUUUCGCUAGGGACGAAGCUUUUUGUGACGGUACCUAGAUAAGAAGCACCGGCUAACUACGUG
RNAcentral lists this ribosomal RNA (465 nucleotides) under uncultured bacterium. RNAcentral describes it as "partial 16S ribosomal RNA". It matches the Rfam family "Bacterial small subunit ribosomal RNA", at positions 28 to 507 of the family's 1533-position model. The record is from RNAcentral.